RNAcentral lists this ribosomal RNA (444 nucleotides) under uncultured bacterium. Its description in RNAcentral is "SSU rRNA". It matches the Rfam family "Bacterial small subunit ribosomal RNA", at positions 26 to 518 of the family's 1533-position model. The record is from RNAcentral.
AGAGCGAACGCUGGCGGCAGGCCUAACACAUGCAAGUCGAGCGCCCCGCAAGGGGAGCGGCAGACGGGUGAGUAACGCGUGGGAACAUACCCUCCGGUUCGGAAUAGCUCAGGGAAACUUGGAUUAAUACCGGAUACGGCCUAGCGGCGAAAGAUUCAUCGCCGGAGGAUUGGCCCGCGUUCGAUUAGCUAGUUGGUGAGGUAACGGCUCACCAAGGCGACGAUCGAUAGCUGGUCUGAGAGGAUGAUCAGCCACAUUGGGACUGAGACACGGCCCAAACUCCUACGGGAGGCAGCAGUGGGGAAUAUUGGACAAUGGGCGCAAGCCUGAUCCAGCCAUGCCGCGUGAGUGAUGACGGCCUUAGGGUUGUAAAGCUCUUUCGCUAGGGACGAUAAUGACGGUACCUAGACAAGAAGCCCCGGCUAACUUCGUGCCAGCAGCCGC